This 696-nucleotide ribosomal RNA is filed under the name Escherichia coli. RNAcentral's name for it is "partial 23S ribosomal RNA". It matches the Rfam family "Bacterial large subunit ribosomal RNA", at positions 2196 to 2886 of the family's 2925-position model. Lineage: Bacteria; Pseudomonadati; Pseudomonadota; Gammaproteobacteria; Enterobacterales; Enterobacteriaceae. The record is from RNAcentral.
AAUACCACCCUUUAAUGUUUGAUGUUCUAACGUUGACCCGUAAUCCGGGUUGCGGACAGUGUCUGGUGGGUAGUUUGACUGGGGCGGUCUCCUCCUAAAGAGUAACGGAGGAGCACGAAGGUUGGCUAAUCCUGGUCGGACAUCAGGAGGUUAGUGCAAUGGCAUAAGCCAGCUUGACUGCGAGCGUGACGGCGCGAGCAGGUGCGAAAGCAGGUCAUAGUGAUCCGGUGGUUCUGAAUGGAAGGGCCAUCGCUCAACGGAUAAAAGGUACUCCGGGGAUAACAGGCUGAUACCGCCCAAGAGUUCAUAUCGACGGCGGUGUUUGGCACCUCGAUGUCGGCUCAUCACAUCCUGGGGCUGAAGUAGGUCCCAAGGGUAUGGCUGUUCGCCAUUUAAAGUGGUACGCGAGCUGGGUUUAGAACGUCGUGAGACAGUUCGGUCCCUAUCUGCCGUGGGCGCUGGAGAACUGAGGGGGGCUGCUCCUAGUACGAGAGGACCGGAGUGGACGCAUCACUGGUGUUCGGGUUGUCAUGCCAAUGGCACUGCCCGGUAGCUAAAUGCGGAAGAGAUAAGUGCUGAAAGCAUCUAAGCACGAAACUUGCCCCGAGAUGAGUUCUCCCUGACUCCCUGAGAGUCCUGAAGGAACGUUGAAGACGACGACGUUGAUAGGCCGGGUGUGUAAGCGCAGCGAUGCGU